ACAGUAGGUCGGUUUGUCGCUUUCCGCUUGGCGGGAGGAGGAAAGUCCGGGCAACGCAGAGCGCCAUGCUUCCUAACUGGAAGUUGCCGGUAACGACAAAGUAACGUAACAGAAAAUAACCGCUCCGAUUUCGGUCGGAGCAAGGGUGAAAAGGUGAGGUAAGAGCUCACCGGUCCGAGUGGCGACACGCGGAGCCGUACGUCUUAUGGGUUGCAAGAUCAAGUAAACCGGCGCAGUAGGAUGGCUCGUCCGAUGCCGGAGGGUAGAUUGCUUAGAUUUCGUCAGCAAUGGCGAAACCAGAUAAAUGACAAACGUUCCGUUUUUACGGAAUACAGAACCCGGCUUAUAGACCUGCUGUAUUU
Molecule: RNase P RNA, 362 nt
Filed under: Bacteroidales bacterium
Lineage: Bacteria; Pseudomonadati; Bacteroidota; Bacteroidia; Bacteroidales
Description: RNase P RNA component class A
Rfam family: Bacterial RNase P class A
About the family: Ribonuclease P (RNase P) is a ubiquitous endoribonuclease, found in archaea, bacteria and eukarya as well as chloroplasts and mitochondria. Its best characterised activity is the generation of mature 5'-ends of tRNAs by cleaving the 5'-leader elements of precursor-tRNAs.
Source: RNAcentral